Juglans regia (Persian walnut) is the source of this 567-nucleotide long non-coding RNA. RefSeq lists it as uncharacterized. Lineage: Eukaryota; Viridiplantae; Streptophyta; Magnoliopsida; Fagales; Juglandaceae. The record is from RefSeq and is a predicted model, not a curated record. The transcript is spliced from 4 exons.
AAAAUAUUGAACUCUGGCUUUUUUUUUUUUUGUUCAAAGAGAAUUCCUUUCCAGAAAUCAAAUGUUUUAUUAUUUAUGUUUAAAAAUAGAGAAAAGUUUUGGUAGGGUUUUUAUGAUAGGCUCCUGGAUUAUUAUUUAUAGUAGUCUGCUAUUUUUUUUCCCCUCUCAACGCUUCUGUAAUUAUAUAAUCAUCACCAACUUGCUCAUAAGAUCUGAAUUGAUGUGCAGUUCCCUGGGGAAGAUGAUAUAUGGCUGUGGUGAUUUGAUUUUUUCAUCACACAUUAUUUUUACGUUAUUAUUUGUUCUGACAUGGAAGAAAUAAGGCACAAUAAGAUGUUACUGGGGUUCUAUGCGAGCUCCAGCUAAUUAUAAAGAAGGUGAAUGUGUCCCCUUGACAAGGUAUAGGUGGAGGCCGAGGGGUUGACUUCAUUAGGUAACUGUGGGCUUUAUAUUGAUGGACUUGAAAUAAUUAUGCACGAAAUCAUUUGUUAUGUUCUAAGCUCUUGCAGCUUUAAUACCAUUACCUUUGUUUUCUAUGUAAUGAACAUAUUUCUUAAUAAAUUUGUA